Molecule: non-coding RNA, 321 nt
Organism: Cinara cedri
Lineage: Eukaryota; Metazoa; Arthropoda; Insecta; Hemiptera; Aphididae
Source: the annotation of a GenBank genome assembly
CUCGUUCAACAAGUUUCAUGAUUUAUAACACCUACUUGAAAAAAAAAAAAAAAAAAAAAUAGAAAAAUGUAUUUAUUACCGAAAAUUAAUACGUCCCAUUAUUUAUAUUAAAAUCACUCCUUUAUUGUGCAUCCAAAUUAUAAUACGGAUACCUGAAAUUGUUUCGUCGAACAGAAUUAACGCGAGGUUCGUUACGAGUUGUCUUUGGCGGUAAAAAAAAAAAAAAAAAAGUCAAUUGCAUGCACAAAUAUAGAAGUUUUUGUUCGAUAACCGUAUAACGGUCGAAUUUCGAUGGAAAUCGUAAAAACCACGAUUUUUCGC